RNAcentral lists this ribosomal RNA (253 nucleotides) under uncultured bacterium. RNAcentral describes it as "partial 16S ribosomal RNA". It matches the Rfam family "Bacterial small subunit ribosomal RNA", at positions 524 to 776 of the family's 1533-position model. The record is from RNAcentral.
UACGUAGGUGGCAAGCGUUGUCCGGAUUUACUGGGUGUAAAGGGCGUGUAGCCGGGCUUACAAGUCAGAUGUGAAAUCCGGGGGCUCAACCCCCGAACUGCAUUUGAAACUGUAGGUCUUGAGUAUCGGAGAGGCAGGCGGAAUUCCUAGUGUAGCGGUGAAAUGCGUAGAUAUUAGGAGGAACGCCAGUGGCGAAGGCGGCCUGCUGGACGACAACUGACGGUGAGGCGCGAAAGCGUGGGGAGCAAACAGG